Molecule: ribosomal RNA, 301 nt
Filed under: uncultured bacterium
Lineage: Bacteria
Description: partial 16S ribosomal RNA
Rfam family: Bacterial small subunit ribosomal RNA
Source: RNAcentral
CAGUAGCCACGGUAAUACGUAGGGUGCGAGCGUUAAUCGGAAUUACUGGGCGUAAAGCGUGCGCAGGCGGUUUUGUAAGACAGGCGUGAAAUCCCCGGGCUCAACCUGGGAAUGGCGCUUGUGACUGCAAAGCUAGAGUGCGGCAGAGGGGGAUGGAAUUCCGCGUGUAGCAGUGAAAUGCGUAGAUAUGCGGAGGAACACCGAUGGCGAAGGCAAUCCCCCGGGCCUGCACUGACGCUCAUGCACGAAAGCGUGGGGAGCAAACAGGAUUAGAUACCCCGGUAGUCCCUGUCUCUUAUAC